Molecule: ribosomal RNA, 255 nt
Filed under: Salmonella enterica subsp. enterica serovar Anatum
Lineage: Bacteria; Pseudomonadati; Pseudomonadota; Gammaproteobacteria; Enterobacterales; Enterobacteriaceae
Also listed under: 2 other names
Description: partial 16S ribosomal RNA
Rfam family: Bacterial small subunit ribosomal RNA
Source: RNAcentral
CCGCCUGGGGAGUACGGCCGCAAGGUUAAAACUCAAAUGAAUUGACGGGGGCCCGCACAAGCGGUGGAGCAUGUGGUUUAAUUCGAUGCAACGCGAAGAACCUUACCUGGUCUUGACAUCCACAGAAGAAUCCAGAGAUGGAUUUGUGCCUUCGGGAACUGUGAGACAGGUGCUGCAUGGCUGUCGUCAGCUCGUGUUGUGAAAUGUUGGGUUAAGUCCCGCAACGAGCGCAACCCUUAUCCUUUGUUGCCAGCG